UUAGAGUUUCCCAAUAUAAGGCAGCUUAAUGUUAAUGGGAACUAGGCUUAGUUCCCAUUAACUUCAAGCUGCCUUAUAUUGUGCUUAUU
Pelobates cultripes (western spadefoot toad) is the source of this 89-nucleotide non-coding RNA. Lineage: Eukaryota; Metazoa; Chordata; Amphibia; Anura; Pelobatidae. The record is from the annotation of a GenBank genome assembly.